This 245-nucleotide ribosomal RNA is filed under the name uncultured bacterium. RNAcentral's name for it is "partial 16S ribosomal RNA". It matches the Rfam family "Bacterial small subunit ribosomal RNA", at positions 524 to 768 of the family's 1533-position model. The record is from RNAcentral.
CACGAACCGUACGAACGUUAUUCGGAAUCACUGGGCUUAAAGGGUGCGUAGGCGGCCCGAAAAGUUGGGUGUGAAAUCCCUCGGCUUAACCGAGGAAUUGCGCUCAAAACUGCCGGGCUAGAGGAAGUCAGAGGUGAGCGGAACUUAGGGUGGAGCGGUGAAAUGCGUUGAUAUCCUAAGGAACACCAGUGGCGAAAGCGGCUCACUGGGGCUUUUCUGACGCUGAGGCACGAAAGCCAGGGGAG